CUUCUCCCUGGAUCGUCCAGGGGAAGACCAGACGACCCCAUGCUGCAUGACCCAGCAGGCUGCAGCAGCUCACAGAGGCCCCUUUCCAACAGCCCGUCCCCACCCUGGCCUCGGUGCACCAUCUCCGCCCCCCACCCUGAUGGUGCAGGUGACCCCUGAGCCCAGCCUGGCGGCAGGCCUCCCUGUGGAACUGCAGCCUGGCUGCAGGCCUCCCUCUCCACUCCCAGCUCCCCUGCCGUUGCCAUGGUUACCCCAGUUCUCAGAGGCCACGGGGGAUGCUGGUGGCUGCGGCUGAGGCUAACUGGGGCCAGAAGCACCUCCCGGGUGCCCACUGCCCUCCGCAGGCCUCCUGCCCCGUCUCUAGUCUGGAGAACCCACCGCAGCUCUCGAGGGGCCAUCCGGUUCUCCAGGGGACAUUGCUGCAGUCCGUCCCAGCUGGAUGCUGUGGCCAGGACACCACGAGCCACGGGUGGGUCACACCCAGAUGACAGCUGCGGAGUCCUGCUCACGCUCAUUCUUUCAACCAAGCGUUUGGGAUGGAGGGUUGAAUCAAGACGUGUCAAUACCUUUGGGAGCCCCACAGACAAUAGGGCAGAAGAAGCUGGACGCUCUCACCUCCUUGUGUCCAGGGCAUUGAAAUGAUCCCCAGAGCAGAGGGCACCAGAGACCUGCAGACCCACCAGCCUCGCCCCUGGUGCCUCCUCCCUUCGAGACCCUCUGGUUUGAACCUGGGAAGUCCUCAAAGGCUCCCGUGUGGAAGGCUUGGUCCCCAGUGCAGCAAGGGACUCAGGGGGACUUUGGGGACGGGAUCGCCAGGCUCUGACUUCCCUGAGGAUUCAUCAUGGAGGCUCCAUCACGGGAAGGCCGUGUCGCGAGGCGGUGGGAAGGUGGCGGGCUGGAGGAGGGAGGUCCCCGGCCCCUGGCUCCCUUUCUCUGUCCCCUCACAGCUGCCCCGGGCCUCACCCCCGCCCGACACUCUGCUCACCGCAGGCCCCAGCAGCGGAGCCGGCCAACCGUGGGCUGAACCUCGGACACCAUCAGCCCCACGCGGUCUCUCCCCCUCUGGGUGGCUUUCCCCAGGUGUUUGUCACCGCGGCCAGAGCGCACCAACACAGGCCCCGAGUCUGAGGCCAGUCCCCUGUGCCCCUCUGGGAGGAAGUGGCUUUGGGUGGCCCCGGGAGGACCUCCCCGGCCCUCCCCCUCUCCUACAGUGUCCCUGCGUGACCGGGUUCUGAAGAGAAAGCCUGACCCCAGAACCCGGGAGUCGGACUCGGUCACAUGGGUGUCCUUGUGUGGGACUUCCCAGAGCCUUCGCUGCGCUAAGACGACCCGCAAGUCCCUAGGAGGGCGCUCAACACCCAGUGCCGCGCCCAGCGCCUCACCCGCAGAGGACCCACGGCUAACUGCAGUACUCGGCGACCCCACGGAGACUUGGACCCUCUGCCUGGUUCAGGCCACCCACCAGGCAGGAGGAUCGCCCUGGCGAAUGAGACCAGGGGCUGGCCACCGGGAUGAGGAGGGCCAUGGUGGUCUCCAGCCGCAGCUGGCUCCUCCGCAGCUGGGCCCCGCGCAGUCCAGCCAGACGGGCUGGAGAGAGAGGAAGCGGGUGGUCCUGGCCGGCUGAGCAGAGGACCCCAGGGACCCUUCCCUGAAUUCCAGUCGUGCCUGUGGGGCUCUUGGGUUGAGCUGCUCUGCUACCUGGGACAGAGUCCUCAUCCAGAGGCAGGAGACGUUCCCAGGGCUGAUUGCCAACAGCUGCCGCGGCUCCAGGUGAACACCAGUGUGGAUGCACAUCGAAAGCCCAACUCCAAGUGGCCUCAACAGAAAGGAGAUUUCCUUUUCUUAUGUCAAGGAAAGUCCAGAGCUAGAGUGAGUCAUUGAUGGCUCAGUGAUGUCGUCAGUGGCCCUUGUUCCCUUGCUUUCUGUUAAUUCUUGCUUGCCUCAUGGUGGCAAAAUGGCUGCAGCAGCUCUAGGCACAUUAUGCUUAAACAACAAUACUCACAGGCCUGGAAAAAGCGAUGCUCCUUUUGAAGAGAGAGAGAAACCCUGGCACCGCCUGGAGUAUUAGUUUGCUAAGGCUGCUGUAACAAAGUAACAGAACCCAGAGAGAUCAGCUUUCUCACAAUUCUGGAGGCCAAAAGUCCGCGAUCAAGGCCCCGUGGGGACUGAUUUCCUGUGAGGAUUGUAGAGGGCACCUUCUCCUGUGUCUUCUCUUGGUCCCCCUCUGCGCAUGCCCGUAUCCCUGUCCCCUCUGGUGAUAAAGACAGAUUGGAUUAGGAGCCACUUUAAUAAAGGUGUCAUUUUUA
Non-coding RNA from Ictidomys tridecemlineatus (thirteen-lined ground squirrel), 2306 nucleotides. NCBI's taxonomy places the organism in Eukaryota, Metazoa, Chordata, Mammalia, Rodentia, Sciuridae. The record is from RefSeq and is a predicted model, not a curated record.